GACGAACGCUGGCGGCGUGCUUAACACAUGCAAGUCGAACGGAAAGGCCCUGCUUUUGUGGGGUGCUCGAUUGGCGAACGGGUGUGUAACACGUGAGUAACCUGCCCUUGACUUUGGGAUAACUUCAGGAAACUGGGGCUAAUACCGGAUAGGAGCUCCUGAUGCAUGGUGGGGGUUGGAAAGUUUCGGGGGUUGGGGCUGGACUCGCGGCUUAUCAGCUUGUUGGUGGGGUAGUGGAUUACCAAGGCGUGGACGGGUAGCCGGCCUGGGAGGGUGACCGGCUACAGUGGGACUGGGAUACGAGCCAGAGGCAUACGGGAGGCAGGGGUGGGAAAUAGAGCACGAAGGGCGGAGGGCGGAAGCAGCAACGCCGCGUGGGAGAUGACUGUCUUCGGGGAGGAAAAUGCUUGCACCUGAGAGUGAGCGUGAUGGACGUUAAUGGUUAAAGAAGCACCGGCGAAUUACGU
Molecule: ribosomal RNA, 467 nt
Filed under: uncultured bacterium
Lineage: Bacteria
Description: partial 16S ribosomal RNA
Rfam family: Bacterial small subunit ribosomal RNA
Source: RNAcentral